Dermacentor albipictus is the source of this 1311-nucleotide RNA transcript. RefSeq lists it as uncharacterized. Lineage: Eukaryota; Metazoa; Arthropoda; Arachnida; Ixodida; Ixodidae. The record is from RefSeq and is a predicted model, not a curated record.
CAGUGUUGCCGGUAUUAGAGGAUCGAGUUAGCGCCAAACCUGGUGUGGCACUUGCUACAAUAAUUUAAAUUGAUUUGUUUGGCUGUACAAAGCAACAUAAUGUAUUUCUGAAGGUCUUGCAGUAUGUUUUUUUUUGUUUACAUAUAAAAAUUCGGUAGUUCGCUCGAUCCGUCGGCGAUGCGCGGCCAACGCUGCAAAACGCUGACCGCUUCCUCUUCCCGCCCGCGCUACCUGAAACCACCGGUGUCAUUUUGCUGUGCGAGUCUGCGAGCGUCUCUUUCUGUCCCCGCUGUAAAGUUUUCUGUGCGUGUGAUGGAGCGGCGUAGAAAACUAGCUGCUUUACAGCUACUUUUGAUAAUGAAGAGGAAGCAGGCGCUGUCCCGCAAGCACUGGGUUCGGCCGGUCUGGACCAAGCGAGCGGACGAAAGCGAGUUCUUCACAGCGAUGAAGCUCAUGAAGAACGGCGACGACUCGCUGUUCUUCAAGUUCUACAGAAUGUCGCCGGAGACAUUCGACGCGCUCCACGACAUGGUGCGGGACCGGCUGACGAAGGAAUGGGUCUGCCGAGAACCGAUUUCAUCUGGCGAGCGCCUCGCACUGACGCUGCAAUACCUGUCGUUCGGUAUGCUCGUGUGAGAUGCAGCAAUGGCCUUCAGAGUGUGGCUGGAGACUGCACGCAAGGCAAUCACCUGACGUGCAAUGUGCCAUGGGAGGUGCUGUCCCCUGUGUACAUGAAGCCUUCAACGGAGGGAGAAUGGAGGGACGUCGCCUCAGGAUUUGGCAGUUGUUGGCAGUUCCCGAAUUGCCUGGGUGCUGUGGACGGCAAGCACGUGAGGAUUAGAUGUCCAAGAAAGGCUGGGAGCCUGUACUUCAACUAUAAGAUUUUUGCCAUCGCCACCGCCUGCUGCUCGUGCGUCGACCUACCAGACUUUGAAGAUACGGCCUGGCCUACGUGUUGACCGACUGACGUCGCUGUCCUGGUAGGGCAAGCUACUGCGCCUGCGCUGCGACUCCUCGGUCCAGCGCCACCGCACCGCAUAAAAGGCACUGCUUCGCUCUGGCCCUCCGGGAUAUGCGGUCACGCACGACAUCGUCUUAACAUUUCACUGCUGUGUUCUAGGUUCUGGGCAACCCAGGAGUGACCAGCUGUGAACUUCUGGUGCCAUGUCGCCCUCUGUGUGGAGUCCUGGUGCCCAACAUAAGCUUGCUAUUCUGCUACCUUUACCAGGCACACUCGGAGAAAGACUAACAUCCACACAAUGCUUUUGUGUUUGACAUUUUGUGUUUUAUUAUCUAUGUUAUUUCUUCAAA